This 253-nucleotide ribosomal RNA is filed under the name uncultured bacterium. RNAcentral describes it as "partial 16S ribosomal RNA". It matches the Rfam family "Bacterial small subunit ribosomal RNA", at positions 524 to 776 of the family's 1533-position model. The record is from RNAcentral.
UACGGGGGGGGCAAGCGUUGUUCGGAAUUACUGGGCGUAAAGGGCCCGUAGGCGGCCAACUAAGUCGGAUGUGAAAUCCCCAGGCUCAACUUGGGAACUGCAUCCGAUACUGGAUGGCUUGAAUUCGGGAGAGGGAUGCAGAAUUCCAGGUGUAGCGGUGAAAUGCGUAGAUAUCAUCAGGAAUACCGGAGGCGAAGGCAGCCCCCUGGGCCAAUACUGACGCUCAGGCACGAAAGCGUGGGGAGCAAACAGG